GAUGAACGCUGGCGGCGUGCCUAAUACAUGCAAGUCGAGCGAACAGACGAGGAGCUUGCUCCUCUGACGUUAGCGGCGGACGGGUGAGUAACACGUGGAUAACCUACAUAUAAGACUGGGAUAACUUCGGGAAACCGGAGCUAAUACCGGCUAAUAUCUUGAACCGCAAGGUUCAAUAGUGAAAGACGGUUUUGCUGUCACUUAUAGAUGGAUCCGCGCCGCAGUAGCUAGUUGGUAAGGUAACGGCUUACCAAGGCGACGAUGCGUAGCCGACCUGAGAGGGUGAUCGGCCACACUGGAACUGAGACACGGUCCAGACUCCUACGGGAGGCAGCAGUAGGGAAUCUUCCGCAAUGGGCGAAAGCCUGACGGAGCAACGCCGCGUGAGUGAUGAAGGUCUUCGGAUCGUAAUACUCUGUUAUUAGGGAAGAACAAAUGUGUAAGUAACUAUGCACGGCUUGACGGUACCUAAUCAGAAAGCCACGGCUAACUACGUG
Molecule: ribosomal RNA, 497 nt
Filed under: uncultured bacterium
Lineage: Bacteria
Description: partial 16S ribosomal RNA
Rfam family: Bacterial small subunit ribosomal RNA
Source: RNAcentral